AUUGAACGCUGGCGGAAUGCUUUACACAUGCAAGUCGAACGGCAGCACGGGGGCAGCCCUGGCGGCGAGUGGCGAACGGGUGAGUAAUACAUCGGAACGUGCCCGGUCGUGGGGGAUAACGUAGCGAAAGUUACGCUAAUACCGCAUACGAUCUGAGGAUGAAAGCGGGGGACCUUCGGGCCUCGCGCGAUCGGAGCGGCCGAUGUCAGAUUAGGUAGUUGGUGGGGUAAAGGCCUACCAAGCCGACGAUCCGUAGCUGGUCUGAGAGGACGACCAGCCACACUGGGACUGAGACACGGCCCAGACUCCUACGGGAGGCAGCAGUGGGGAAUUUUGGACAAUGGGCGCAAGCCUGAUCCAGCCAUUCCGCGUGCAGGACGAAGGCCUUCGGGUUGUAAACUGCUUUUGUACGGAACGAAAAGGCUCUGGCUAAUACCUGGGGCUCAUGACGGUACCGUAAGAAUAAGCACCGGCUAACUACGUG
Molecule: ribosomal RNA, 484 nt
Filed under: uncultured bacterium
Lineage: Bacteria
Description: partial 16S ribosomal RNA
Rfam family: Bacterial small subunit ribosomal RNA
Source: RNAcentral